Molecule: ribosomal RNA, 496 nt
Filed under: uncultured bacterium
Lineage: Bacteria
Description: partial 16S ribosomal RNA
Rfam family: Bacterial small subunit ribosomal RNA
Source: RNAcentral
AUGAACGCUGGCGGCGUGCCUAAUACAUGCCGGUCGAGCGAACAGACGAGGAGCUUGCUCCUCUGACGUUAGCGGCGGACGGGUGAGUAACACGUGGAUAACCUACCUAUAAGACUGGGAUAACUUUGGGAAACCGGAGCUAAUACCGGAUAAUAUAUUGAACCGCAUGGUUCAAUAGUGAAAGACGGUUUUGCUGUCACUUAUAGAUGGAUCCGCGCCGCAUUAGCUAGUUGGUAAGGUAACGGCUUACCAAGGCGACGAUGCGUAGCCGACCUGAGAGGGUGAUCGGCCACACUGGAACUGAGACACGGUCCAGACUCCUACGGGAGGCAGCAGUAGGGAAUCUUCCGCAAUGGGCGAAAGCCUGACGGAGCAACGCCGCGUGAGUGAUGAAGGUCUUCGGAUCGUAAAACUCUGUUAUUAGGGAAGAACAAAUGUGUAAGUAACUAUGCACGUCUUGACGGUACCUAAUCAGAAAGCCACGGCUAACUACGUG